CAGCAGCAGCCGCGGUAAUACCGAGGGUGCGAGCGUUAAUCGGAUUUACUGGGCGUAAAGCGUGCGUAGGCGGCUUUUUAAGUCGGAUGUGAAAUCCCUGAGCUUAACUUAGGAAUUGCAUUCGAUACUGGGAAGCUAGAGUAUGGGAGAGGAUGGUAGAAUUCCAGGUGUAGCGGUGAAAUGCGUAGAGAUCUGGAGGAAUACCGAUGGCGAAGGCAGCCAUCUGGCCUAAUACUGACGCUGAGGUACGAAAGCAUGGGGAGCAAACAGGAUUAGAUACCCCCGUAGUCCCUGUCUCUUAUAC
RNAcentral lists this ribosomal RNA (304 nucleotides) under uncultured bacterium. Its description in RNAcentral is "partial 16S ribosomal RNA". It matches the Rfam family "Bacterial small subunit ribosomal RNA", at positions 506 to 807 of the family's 1533-position model. The record is from RNAcentral.